RNAcentral lists this unclassified non-coding RNA (352 nucleotides) under soil metagenome. Its description in RNAcentral is "partial contains 5.8S ribosomal RNA, internal transcribed spacer 2, and large subunit ribosomal RNA". The stretch from base 1 to 120 matches the Rfam family "5.8S ribosomal RNA", at positions 35 to 154 of the family's 154-position model. The record is from RNAcentral.
GAUGAAGAACGUAGCGAAAUGCGAUAAGUAAUGUGAAUUGCAGAAUUCAGUGAAUCAUCGAAUCUUUGAACGCACAUUGUGCCCGCCAGCACUCUGGCGGGCAUGCCUGUCCGAGCGUCAUUUCAACCCUCGCGCCGUCCCUCCAGGGGGCUCGGCGCGGUGUUGGGGGACACGGCCCCGGCCGCCCCCGAAAUGCAGUGGCGACCCCGCCGCGGCCCCUCCAGCGCAGUAAGCACGCUCGCUACGGGAGGCCCGGUGGACGCGUCCGCCGUAAAACGCCCAACUCUUCAGAAGUUGACCUCGGAUCAGGUAGGGAUACCCGCUGAACUUAAGCAUAUCAAUAAGCGGAGGA